GUCCAGCCCGCUCAGAAACUUAAAGGAAUUGACGGGGGCCCGCACAAGCGGAGGAACAUGUGGUUUAAUUUCGAUGAUACGCGAGGAACCUUACCCGGGCUUGAAAUGCAUCUGACCGGCCUUGAAAGAGGCACUCCCUUCGGGGCAGAUGUGUAGGUGCUGCAUGGUUGUCGUCAGCUCGUGCCGUGAGGUGUCGGCUUAAGUGCCAUAACGAGCGCAACCCUCAUCAUUAGUUACCAUCAGGUAAGGCUGGGGACUCUAAUGAGACUGCCAUCGUAAGAUGUGAGGAAGGUGGGGAUGACGUCAAAUCAGCACGGCCCUUACGUCCGGGGCGACACACGUGUUACAAUGGGUGGUACAAAGGGCAGCUACCUGGCGACAGGAUGCUAAUCUCGAAAACCGCUCUCAGUUCGGAUCGGAGUCUGCAACUCGACUCCGUGAAGCUGGAUUCGCUAGUAAUCGCGCAUCAGCCACGGCGCGGUGAAUACGUUCCCGGGCCUU
Molecule: ribosomal RNA, 501 nt
Filed under: uncultured Proteiniphilum sp.
Lineage: Bacteria; Pseudomonadati; Bacteroidota; Bacteroidia; Bacteroidales; Dysgonomonadaceae
Description: bacterial SSU rRNA
Rfam family: Bacterial small subunit ribosomal RNA
Source: RNAcentral